This is a long non-coding RNA of Tetranychus urticae (two-spotted spider mite), 979 nucleotides long. RefSeq lists it as uncharacterized. NCBI's taxonomy places the organism in Eukaryota, Metazoa, Arthropoda, Arachnida, Trombidiformes, Tetranychidae. The record is from RefSeq and is a predicted model, not a curated record.
CAAAGGUCGAUGAAUAACAGUUUACUUUUUACAGUUGGGUCCAGAGGAAAAUGAGUUUUUACAAAAUUUGUCCAAUUAUCUAGUUGAUUAUUGGAUUCCCUCGAUUCCUGGAGGAUGUCAUGAAAAAAGAUUGGAGUACAAUUAACUUAGUCCCUUGGGGUUCCUUUUCUUGAUCAUCAGCUAUUAUCAUCAUCAUCAUCAAGAUUUCUUGGUUAAGAGGGAGGGAAAACCAGACUGUUGAUGAAAAGAUGAAGGGGAGAAGAAGUAUUAACAAAUGAACCUCACCCUGAUUUCUGUGGAAAAAUUUGAUUUAAAUGAAACUGUUCAAUUUAAUUUGCUUGUUUUUCAUUCAAUGUCAGUCAAAAUUGACAGUUCCGAUCCAUUAUUUUCUCUACAAUCAACAUUAUCAUUACCAUCAUCACCAUCUUCACCAUCUUCACUUUAAUGAGCCAACUGUAAAUCUGAACAAUUUGCCAUUCUCCAUUUUUCUCGUUGUUUACCAUUCAAAGUUACCUGCAUUCAAAGUUAUACUUGACCAAGCAUUUGGAAACAAGCAAAUUAUUAAAUGUUGAACAAUUAUCAAAUUUGGUGGUUUCACAUUCAAACUUGUUGUACGUUAACCAGCAGUAAUUACUCCAUCAAUCUUUGACCAGACUAUUUCAUCUUCAACAUUUGCUGUCUCUCAACUCAACAAUUGGUUCAUCAGGAUGAAAAAAAGUUAACAUCUAAUUCCAAUUAAAUUAGUGAUUUAAUGAAGCCUCAUUAGGAAUCAGCUACAAGUCUCGACAUAAAUGAGAAUAGAAAGAACGAUAUUAUUUCGAUCCAUAAAAUGGGGUAAAAACAAAUUAUGUAAAUAACAUGGUUAAUGGUAACAAAAAUAAUUCUCAUUCUCAUCAUGAUUUGAAGCAUUUAUAUAAAAUUCUUAUAUAUGUUAAUCAAGAUGUUAUUAUUUUGGCAACAAGAGUGUUUCACAUUAUUA